Molecule: long non-coding RNA, 984 nt
Organism: Gadus macrocephalus (Pacific cod)
Lineage: Eukaryota; Metazoa; Chordata; Actinopteri; Gadiformes; Gadidae
Exons: 3
Source: RefSeq, a predicted model, not a curated record
AACUAUAUUUGAAAUUAUUAAUUGCAUCCCGUUUAACAAUAAUGCAAUAUAUUAGCAAAGUUACCUGCAGUAAGUAGCAGCCCACCAUUGGCAACUACUACUACAAUCAGGUGACAAAAUGUAUUUUUUAGUGAUUUUUAUGUUAUUUUAUAUGAUUUAUUUCCAGAAACAAUUCCAUGGUAACGUCUCUGCCACCAGUCGGUGAGUGUAACUUGUUGACGGUCCCUAAAACAGGUAGCAGCCAGAACGUAAAUGACGUUGUUGCACAGACAUCGAUGGCGACAACAUGUGUUUGUGAUUUUCGCGAUACGCCGUCCUAAACCGUCCUCAACAUACUAAGCCCUAUGGAAGGGGAGAUUUGGAGGUACCUGGUCAGGUCUUGGUCAGCCUUCAAAUCCCAGAUGUGGAGACUGCAGGGAUACCUCACAGAAAAGACACACAGUUGUUACAUGCUCCCAUAGGCAGAUUGCUGCAUGGCAUUCACCGCUUAUUCAAAUUGAAGAGGUUGAAGCAGUCUUCCUUGUGGUCACUUGCCAUAACAAUGUCAUGUGUUUUAUGAAAACACCAGGGUUUUUUCUAAACAAGGGAACAGGGGCGCUGCGCCCCGAUACUCCCGGCGUGCGCCAUCCUACCGAAAUGCCGACUGAACCUGUCAGACUUGGAUCUGUACUUACAUGCUGCUGUACAACAUACACUAUUUCUCAAAACGAUCUUUUCUCUGCGAAAAUAUCCCAACACCACCACCUGACAAUCUGUCUGAUCCUCAAAUAACUUAUAAUUACUCCAAAAAUAUUCCGAUCCGAAUUGGAGUUUCCCAGACCGAGUCGACAUGCUAACGUUAAAGUUAUUAGCAGCUAGCUAGCUAGCUACUAUGUAUUUGAAUGGGUUUUUGGUCUAGGCGCUAAGAUGCUAAGCAAGUAUACAAGACCAUUCCAGUUCUCUCUGCACAAAGCGGUUUCAAUGAACGACAGAAAUAAACAAAUG